RNAcentral lists this small RNA (435 nucleotides) under Pongo abelii (Sumatran orangutan). RNAcentral's name for it is "processed transcript". Lineage: Eukaryota; Metazoa; Chordata; Mammalia; Primates; Hominidae. The record is from RNAcentral.
AGAAGCCGCAGGGCUACAGAUAGGAAACAGGAGGGAAUAAUCCAGCCAGAAAUUAUCUUGCCCAACCACAGAAGGCAUCAUCUACAUUCUGCUGGGAUCCAUACCAGAGGAGGACAGAAACAGAAGAUAGGAUCAGGACUGGAAACUAAAGCUGUGGUUGUCUUCUGGAUGGAUCAGAAUGCUCUAGAUCAAUGGAACGUGGCAGCUCCAAUUCCAGGAAUCUCAGUGCAGCCUCUCCUGAGAAAACCUUCAAGAAAACCCUCCAGUCAUCGUAACGUGUGUCCUCCAAGCCCUCGGAACUGUGGCUGUGGCUCUGGGGGCUCUAGGAGCUGCCUACUACAUCAUUGAAUCCUUGUGAACAAGCCCCUAGGCCCACGGUCCGGCAGAUCCAGUUUCCAUCAAAGGACCUCUCUUGUCACCAAAAUUUAAAAAAAG